This is a long non-coding RNA of Polypterus senegalus (gray bichir), 553 nucleotides long. RefSeq lists it as uncharacterized. The transcript has 2 exons. The record is from RefSeq and is a predicted model, not a curated record. NCBI's taxonomy places the organism in Eukaryota, Metazoa, Chordata, Cladistia, Polypteriformes, Polypteridae.
CCGCCUGGCAGCUCCACGUCGACAUUCUUCCAGCUGCGCUGUGGAAAGCGUACCCAGAGCAGUGUGACUGGCUCGCUGGCAGACGUGGAGGUGCAGAGGUGAAGACGGCAACUCAGUGGGUUCCGUGGUCCGCAGGACCCCGUGGCAAAGGCACGAGCUCGACGGAGCUCAGCAGAUCAGGUACACUGGAGGGACGAGUUCAUCUCCACCUCACCCCGUCAGAUGCCAAGCCUGUCCAGCGGCUCUCAAACUAAAGUUCUGUGGUACACUUGGACUCUUCAUUGUUUGCAGUCAGUGCAUUACAGAACUUUGUUUUGGGAGUUGAAGCCCAUCUGGUGAAAUGGAGCGCAGUCUUUUAAGGGUCUGGAUGUUAUUGUCUGAUUUUUCUUUCACCUCUUUCUGCUUAUCUUUUCUUUCAUACUUAAUCUAUGUGAAAUGAUAGGAUAUAAAAAAAAACACAUUCAUUUUUAACACUUUCUACAUAUUGGUUAAUGUGUAAUGGAAUUUGUGGUUAAUUAAAAAACAGAAAGUGCUGAAAUACAUCUUUCCUGAA